Molecule: ribosomal RNA, 380 nt
Filed under: uncultured eukaryote
Lineage: Eukaryota
Description: partial 18S ribosomal RNA
Rfam family: Eukaryotic small subunit ribosomal RNA
Source: RNAcentral
CAAUAGCGUAUAUUAAAGUUGUUGCGGUUAAAAAGCUCGUAGUUGGAUUUCUGCUGAGAACGACCGGUCCGCCCAUUGGGUGUGUAUCUGGCUCUUUCUUGGCAUCUUCUUGGUGAACGUUACUGCACUUGACUGUGUGGAGCGCUACCCAGGACUUUUACUUUGAGGAAAUUAGAGUGUUUCAAGCAGGCAUACGCCUUGAAUACGUUAGCAUGGAAUAAUAAGAUAGGACCUCGGUUCUAUUUUGUUGGUUUCUAGAGCUGAGGUAAUGAUUAAUAGGGAUAGUUGGGGGUAUUCGUAUUCUAUUGCUAGAGGUGAAAUUCUUAAAUUUAUGGAAGACGAACUACUGCGAAAGCAUUUACCAAGGAUGUUUUCAUUAA